RNAcentral lists this transfer RNA (74 nucleotides) under Blumeria graminis f. sp. tritici. It matches the Rfam family "tRNA". From Rfam's summary of the family: Transfer RNA (tRNA) molecules are approximately 80 nucleotides in length. Their secondary structure includes four short double-helical elements and three loops (D, anti-codon, and T loops). The record is from Rfam by way of RNAcentral. Lineage: Eukaryota; Fungi; Ascomycota; Leotiomycetes; Helotiales; Erysiphaceae. RNAcentral also lists the same sequence under 1 other name.
GGUCGCUUAGCUCAGUUAGUUAGAGCGUGGUGCUAAUAACGCCAAGGUCGCGAGUUCGACCCUCGUAGUGACCA